RNAcentral lists this ribosomal RNA (171 nucleotides) under uncultured bacterium. Its description in RNAcentral is "partial 16S ribosomal RNA". The stretch from base 1 to 77 matches the Rfam family "Bacterial small subunit ribosomal RNA", at positions 796 to 873 of the family's 1533-position model. The record is from RNAcentral.
CACGCCGUAAACGAUGAGUGCUAGUUGUUGGGGUGCAUGCACCUCAGUGACGCAGCUAACGCGUUAAGCACUCCGCCUGGGGAGUNGCGCAGAACCUUACCAGCCCUUGACAUGGGAACUAUGGGUCCGAGAGAUUGGAUCCUUCACUUCGGGUGGGUUCCACACAGGUGC